Serratia sp. DD3 is the source of this 299-nucleotide regulatory RNA element. It matches the Rfam family "Soft rot Enterobacteriaceae Rev 39 5'UTR". Rfam says of the family: From bacteria cultured under starvation conditions. The record is from Rfam. Lineage: Bacteria; Pseudomonadati; Pseudomonadota; Gammaproteobacteria; Enterobacterales; Yersiniaceae.
AAAAGUUGCCAUUUCACUCGUGACUGUGAUAACUCUGUAUACAUUGGUUCAAGAUGAAUACAGUGAACAACUCGAUUAUGAAAGCCCUAGCCCAAGUGAUUAGCCUAGUCGUGAUUAGUGUGGUGGUGAUUAUUAUCCCACCGUGCGGGGCGGCACUUGGACGAAGAAAGGCUUAGCAAACAAGCCGGAAUCGCAAGAUAACCCCCGUACCCAAAAGUUCGGGGGUUUUUUUAUGCCGAAAGAAAAGGACAUAAGGAGCAGAGGAUGAGUCACAGAAUAAACUGCACUUCCCACAGCAA